AUGGCGCCGCCCCCGACCACUAGCGCCCCCGACGGCGGCCUGGAUCCCAGGGACGUGUGCGUCGUCGGCGUCGCCCGCACGCCCAUCGGCGCCCUGCUCGGCUCCCUCUCCUCCCUCCCCGCCACCAGGCUCGGCUCCGUCGCCAUCCAGGGCGCUCUCCGGCGAGCCAGCGUCGACCCGGCGCUGGUGCAGGAGGUGUUCAUGGGCAACGUCCUCAGCGCCAACCUCGGCCAGGCCCCCGCCAGGCAGGCCGCCCUCGGCGCCGGCCUGCCCAACACCGUCCCCUGCACCACCGUCAACAAAGUCUGCUCCUCAGGGAUGAAGGCUGUCAUGCUUGCGGCACAGUCGAUUCAGCUGGGGAUCAACGACGUCGUGGUCGCCGGCGGCAUGGAGAGCAUGUCCAAUGCCCCCAAAUACGCUGCAACGGCAAGACGAGGAUCGCGGUUUGGGCAUGACGUCCUCAUCGACGGGAUGCUCAAGGAUGGGCUGUGGGAUGUGUAUAAUGAUUUCCAUAUGGGGAUGUGCGCUGAGCUCUGUGCAGAUCAGCACUCGAUUACAAGGGAGGAGCAGGAUGCUUAUGCUGUCCAGAGCAAUGAGCACGGAAUAGCAGCUCGAGACAGCGGCGCGUUUGAUUGGGAAAUUGUUCCGGUUGAAAUUCCUUCUGGUAGAGGCAGACCGCCAGUUGUUGUUGACAAAGAUGAGAGUCUUGCAAAGUACGAUCCAGUGAAGCUGAAGAAACUUGGGCCGGCUUUUAAGAAGAAUGGCUCUGUAACUGCCGGCAAUUCUUCUAGUAUAAGCGACGGUGCUGCUGCAAUUGUGCUAGUCAGUGGGGAGAAAGCCAAGAACCUUGGCCUUCAAGUUCUUGCAAGGAUCAGAGGGUACGCUGAUGCUGCUCAGGCACCUGAGCUAUUUACAACAACUCCAGCUCUUGCUAUCCCAAAGGCUAUAUCAAACUCAGGUCUCCGAGAUUCACAAAUAGAUUAUUAUGAGAUAAAUGAGGCUUUCUCGGUUGUUGCAGUGGCAAAUCAGAGACUUCUUGGCAUCUCUCCUGGAAAACUGAAUAUAAGUGGUGGCGCUGUUUCCCUGGGCCAUCCUAUCGGUUGCAGUGGUGCACGAAUCAUAGUCACCUUGCUCGGGAUUCUUAGACAGAAACAGGGCAAGUUUGGGGUUGCCGGAGUAUGCAACGGCGGGGGUGGUGCUUCAGCCAUCGUCGUAGAGUCCAUGCAAGCUUCGUCGCGCCUGCGAUCCUCGCUGUGA
RNAcentral lists this ribosomal RNA (1257 nucleotides) under Triticum aestivum (bread wheat). Its description in RNAcentral is "partial small subunit ribosomal RNA". The record is from RNAcentral. Lineage: Eukaryota; Viridiplantae; Streptophyta; Magnoliopsida; Poales; Poaceae.